Molecule: ribosomal RNA, 397 nt
Filed under: uncultured bacterium
Lineage: Bacteria
Description: partial 16S ribosomal RNA
Rfam family: Bacterial small subunit ribosomal RNA
Source: RNAcentral
AUACGUAGGGGGCGAGCGUUGUCCGGAAUGAUUGGGCGUAAAGGGCGCGUAGGCGGCCCGGUAAGUCUGGAGUGAAAGUCCUGUUUUUAAGAUGGGAAUUGCUUUGGAUACUGUCGGGCUUGAGUGCAGGAGAGGUAAGUGGAAUUCCCAGUGUAGCGGUGAAAUGCGUAGAGAUUGGGAGGAACACCAGUGGCGAAGGCGACUUACUGGACUCUAACUGACGCUGAGGCGCGAAAGUGUGGGGAGCAAACAGGAUUAGAUACCCUGGUAGUCCACACUGUAAACGAUGAAUGCUAGGUGUAGGGGGUAUCGACCCCUUCUGUGCCGCAGUCAACACAAUAAGCAUUCCGCCUGGGGAGUACGGCCGCAAGGUUGAAACUCAAAUGAAUUGACGGGG